RNAcentral lists this ribosomal RNA (439 nucleotides) under uncultured bacterium. Its description in RNAcentral is "partial 16S ribosomal RNA". It matches the Rfam family "Bacterial small subunit ribosomal RNA", at positions 339 to 795 of the family's 1533-position model. The record is from RNAcentral.
CUACGGGAUGCAGCAGUGAGGAAUAUUGCACAAUGGGGGGAACCCUGAUGCAGCAACGCCGCGUGGAGGAUGACGCAUUUCGGUGUGUAAACUCCUUUUAUAUGUCAAGAAAAUGACGGUAGCAUAUGAAUAAGCACCGGCUAACUCCGUGCCAGCAGCCGCGGUAAUAGGGAGGGUGCAAGCGUUACUCGGAAUCACUGGGCGUAAAGGACGCGUAGGCGGGUUGGAAAGUCAGGUGUGAAAUCCUACAGCUUAACUGUAGAACUGCACUUGAAACUUCUAAUCUAGAGUAUGGGAGGGGGAGAUGGAAUUAGUGGUGUAGGGGUAAAAUCCGUAGAUAUCACUAGGAAUACCUAAAGCGAAGGCGAUCUCCUGGAACAUUACUGACGCUAAGGCGUGAAAGCGUGGGGAGCAAACAGGAUUAGAUACCCUAGUAGUC